UGACCAGGGACGGCCAAUCCUCAUGGGCGGAGGCCUGACCCGCCCGGCUGCGUCCAGAGCCUGGCAGAGGCACCGAGCUGGGUGAGCCACCCCAACCGCUGGACGCGCAGGGGAACGGUUCUCAGCCCUGGAGGCAGCGGCCACACUAUCUCCGUGUAGUCUUUGGGGCGAUUCUGCAAGGGCUGAGUGGGGAGAGCACGGGGCCUCCGCACCUCUCUGACCUCCCGCACCUGCUCCCUGCUCGUUCAUGACUAAGCGAUUUCCACCUCGGCGUCCGCCUGCCAAGGGGCCCGCUGGCCGCAGGGACCGCACCACGGUGCCCAGAGCCGCACACACUUCAACCCAUAAUUGGUCAUGAUCUCACCGUUCGUGAGACGGAGUCCCAUGUCGUCCGUGAGGUUGAGUUCGGCGCUGUCAGUGAGGAGCCUGCUUGGAAU
Non-coding RNA from Puma concolor (puma), 437 nucleotides. The record is from RefSeq and is a predicted model, not a curated record. Lineage: Eukaryota; Metazoa; Chordata; Mammalia; Carnivora; Felidae.